AUUUCUUAUCCCUAGAAAUAGUCAUGCCUGACAAAAAUCAACUCAAAAUGGAUCAAAGAGCUAUGAAUUAGAACAGAAGAAACUCCUAGAAGAAAAUGUAGGGUUAACACUCCAGCAUAUAAGCACAAGCAACAACUUUCUCAAUAAGACUCCUAAAGCUCAGGAAAUAAUGCCAAGGGUUAAUAAACGGGAUGGCAUCAAAUUAAAAAGUUUCUGCACAACAAAAAAUCUCACACCAGUCAGAAUGGCAGUCAUCAAGAAAACUAAACUACAAAAUACUAAAGAAAGAAAUUGAAGAAAACUUUAAAGAUGUAAAGAUCUCAUAUGUUCUUGGAUAGGCAGAAUUAAAAUUGUCAAAAUGGCCAUACUCCCAAAAGCUUUAUACAGAUUUAAUGCAAUUCCUAUUAAAAUCCCAAUGACAUUCUUCAUAGAAAUAGAAAAGGCAGUCAUGAAAUUCAUUUGGAAAAAUAAGAGGCUCAGAAUAGCCAAAGAAAUCCUCAGCAAGAAAAGUGAAGCAGAAGGCAUCACAAUACUAGACCUUAAAUUAUACUACAGAGCUAUAGUAAAAAUGGCAUGGUAUUGGCACCAAAAUAGAUAUGAAAAUCAAUGGAACAGAAUAGAAGUCACAGAGACAAAACCACAUAUAUACAGUCUUAUAUUAGACAAAGUCACCAUAAACAUACAUUGAAGAAAAUAUAGACUCUUCAACAAAUGGUGCUGGGAAAACUGGAAAUCCAUAUGUAGCAAAAUGAAAUUGAAUCCCUAUCUCUUACCCUGCAUAAAACUCAACUCAAAGUGGACAAGGACCUAGACAUUAGACCAUAGACCCUGAGCCUACUAGAAGAAAAUGUAGGCCCAACCAUCCUUAUGUUGGUUUACAUAUUGACUUCUUCAACAAGACUCCUAAAGGGCAAGAAGUAAAAUCAAAGAUCAAUACAUGGUGGUGCUAGGGUUAUAGCUCACUGGUAGAGUGCUUGCUUAGCAUGUGUGAGGCACUGGGUUCGAUUCCCA
RNAcentral lists this long non-coding RNA (1011 nucleotides) under Marmota monax (woodchuck). The stretch from base 949 to 1011 matches the Rfam family "tRNA", at positions 1 to 62 of the family's 71-position model. Lineage: Eukaryota; Metazoa; Chordata; Mammalia; Rodentia; Sciuridae. The record is from RNAcentral.